AUUUCGGUGUAGAAGUGGCAGCACGGCAGACUGGUCAAACAAAUGGAUUUUACAGAGGCUUACGCGGACACGUGCUCUACAGUUGGACUUGCUGCCAGGGAAGGCAAUGUUAAAGUCUUAAGGAAACUGCUCAAAAAGGGCCGAAGUGUCGAUGUUGCUGAUAACAGGGGAUGGAUGCCAAUUCAUGAAGCAGCUUAUCACAACUCUGUAGAAUGUUUGCAAAUGUUAAUUAAUGCAGAUUCAUCUGAAAACUACAUUAAGAUGAAGACCUUUGAAGGUUUCUGUGCUUUGCAUCUCGCUGCAAGUCAAGGACAUUGGAAAAUCGUACAGAUUCUUUUAGAAGCUGGGGCAGAUCCUAAUGCAACUACUUUAGAAGAAACGACACCAUUGUUUUUAGGUGCAAAUGUCAAUUGUCAAGCCUUGGACAAAGCUACACCCUUGUUCAUUGCUGCUCAAGAGGGACACACAAAAUGUGUGGAGCUUUUGCUCUCCAGUGGGGCAGAUCCUGAUCUUUACUGUAAUGAGGACAGUUGGCAGUUACCUAUUCAUGCAGCUGCACAAAUGGGCCAUACAAAAAUCUU
This 581-nucleotide long non-coding RNA is filed under the name Homo sapiens (human). RNAcentral describes it as "non-protein coding lnc-ASB3-2:4". The record is from RNAcentral. Lineage: Eukaryota; Metazoa; Chordata; Mammalia; Primates; Hominidae.